This 74-nucleotide transfer RNA is filed under the name Urocitellus parryii (Arctic ground squirrel). RNAcentral's name for it is "Spermophilus parryii (Arctic ground squirrel) tRNA". It matches the Rfam family "tRNA". From Rfam's summary of the family: Transfer RNA (tRNA) molecules are approximately 80 nucleotides in length. RNAcentral also lists the same sequence under 2 other names. Lineage: Eukaryota; Metazoa; Chordata; Mammalia; Rodentia; Sciuridae. The record is from Rfam by way of RNAcentral.
GGGGAUGUGGCUCAAUGGUAGAGUGCUUGCCUGGCAGCAGCUCCAAGCCCUGGGUUUGAUCCCCAGCAUCACAA